UAAUGAUGGCUGCUGGAAAACAUG
RNAcentral lists this non-coding RNA (24 nucleotides) under Mus musculus (house mouse). The record is from RNAcentral. Lineage: Eukaryota; Metazoa; Chordata; Mammalia; Rodentia; Muridae.